RNAcentral lists this ribosomal RNA (460 nucleotides) under uncultured bacterium. RNAcentral describes it as "partial 16S ribosomal RNA". It matches the Rfam family "Bacterial small subunit ribosomal RNA", at positions 338 to 795 of the family's 1533-position model. The record is from RNAcentral.
CCUACGGGCGGCAGCAGUGAGGAAUAUUGGUCAAUGGACGAGAGUCUGAACCAGCCAAGUAGCGUGAAGGAUGACUGCCCUAUGGGUUGUAAACUUCUUUUAUAAAGGAAUAAAACGAGGCACGUGUGCCUUUUUGCAUGUACUUUAUGAAUAAGGAUCGGCUAACUCCGUGCCAGCAGCCGCGGUAAUACGGAGGAUCCGAGCGUUAUCCGGAGUUAUUGGGUUUAAAGGGAGCGUAGAUGGGUUGUUAAGUCAGUUGUGAAAGUUUGCGGCUCAACCGUAAAAUUGCAAUUGAUACUGGCAGUCGUGAGUACAGUUGAGGUAGGCGGAAUUCGUGGUGUAGCGGUGAAAUGCUUAGAUAUCACGAAGAACCCCGAUUGCGAAGGCAGCUUACUAAACUGUGACUGACAUUGAUGCUCGAAAGUGUGGGUAUCAAACAGGAUUAGAUACCCCAGUAGUC